Molecule: ribosomal RNA, 706 nt
Filed under: Promicromonospora sp.
Lineage: Bacteria; Bacillati; Actinomycetota; Actinomycetes; Micrococcales; Promicromonosporaceae
Description: bacterial SSU rRNA
Rfam family: Bacterial small subunit ribosomal RNA
Source: RNAcentral
UGCAGUCGACGGUGAAGCCCAGCUUGCUGGGUGGAUCAGUGGCGAACGGGUGAGUAACACGUGAGCAACCUGCCCCCUACUUCGGGAUAAGCCUUGGAAACGAGGUCUAAUACCGGAUAUGAGCACCUACCGCAUGGUGGGUGUUGGAAAGUUUUUCGGUGGGGGAUGGGCUCGCGGCCUAUCAGCUUGUUGGUGGGGUAAUGGCCUACCAAGGCGUCGACGGGUAGCCGGCCUGAGAGGGCGACCGGCCACACUGGGACUGAGACACGGCCCAGACUCCUACGGGAGGCAGCAGUGGGGAAUAUUGCACAAUGGGCGAAAGCCUGAUGCAGCGACGCCACGUGAGGGAUGACGGCCUUCGGGUUGUAAACCUCUUUCAGCAGGGAAGAAGCGAAAGUGACGGUACCUGCAGAAGAAGCGCCGGCUAACUACGUGCCAGCAGCCGCGGUAAUACGUAGGGCGCAAGCGUUGUCCGGAAUUAUUGGGCGUAAAGAGCUCGUAGGCGGUCUGUCGCGUCUGGUGUGAAAUCCCAUGGCUCAACUGUGGGCUUGCAUCGGGUACGGGCAGACUAGAGUGCUGUAGGGGAGACUGGAAUUCCUGGUGUAGCGGUGGAAUGCGCAGAUAUCAGGAGGAACACCGAUGGCGAAGGCAGGUCUCUGGGCAGUUACUGACGCUGAGGAGCGAAAGCAUGGGGAGCGAACAGGAU